RNAcentral lists this ribosomal RNA (459 nucleotides) under uncultured bacterium. Its description in RNAcentral is "partial 16S ribosomal RNA". It matches the Rfam family "Bacterial small subunit ribosomal RNA", at positions 338 to 795 of the family's 1533-position model. The record is from RNAcentral.
ACUACGGGUGGCAGCAGUGAGGAAUAUUGGUCAAUGGGAGAGAUCCUGAACCAGCCAAGCCGCGUGAGGGAAGACGGCCCUAUGGGUUGUAAACCUCUUUUGUCGGAGAACAAAACCCGGGACGAGUCCCGGACUGCGUGUAUCCGAAGAAAAAGCAUCGGCUAACGCGGUGCCAGCAGCCGCGGUACUACGGAGGAUGCGAGCGGUAGACGGAUUUAUUGGGUUUAAAGGGUUCGUAGGCGGUCUGUUAAGUCAGCGGGAAAAUUGCGGGGCUCAACCCCGUCGAGCCGUUGAAACUGGCAGACUUGAGUUGGCGAGAAGUACGCGGAAUGCGCGGUGUAGCGGUGAAAUGCAUAGAUAUCGCGCAGAACUCCGAUUGCGAAGGCAGCGUACCGGCGCCAGACUGACGCUGAGGCACGAAAGCGUGGGGAUCGAACAGGAUUAGAUACCCCAGUAGUC